RNA transcript from Sciurus carolinensis (gray squirrel), 5815 nucleotides. It is a transcript of the gene named TatD DNase domain containing 2, with no coding region annotated. NCBI's taxonomy places the organism in Eukaryota, Metazoa, Chordata, Mammalia, Rodentia, Sciuridae. The transcript is spliced from 8 exons. The record is from RefSeq and is a predicted model, not a curated record.
GGGCGCCGCGGCGGCCGGAGUGGUCGCAGCGCGGGCGGAGGCCGGGCCUGGCCGCAGGACCAGGGUGGGGGGCGAGUGGGCGCCCGGGCGGCGCGGCCGGGCUGGCGUCUGAGCCGCGGCGGCAGGGACGGCUAGGCGGCCGGGUGGGGUAGGGGUCUGACCUGAGGCGGCGGACGGGGGCGCCGCCGGCUGCCGAGCGGCGGCGGCAGGGGCCCUUUUCGGCUCGGGGCGGGUCGUCGGGGCCGCUGGAGCAGGGCGGGCUGUCGCGCGGGGUCGGGCCCUGCCCUCCGGCCCGCCCUCGGCCGCCAGGGCCUCCGGGCCGCGCGCCCGGCCCGCGGGCUGCGGUUCCGGCCGCCAUGUGUGGACCUUAAAGCGUCUUUGGAAGCGCUUUGACAUCUGUGAAGGGCUUUGUAUUGCAAACUAAAUUGAAGCGCUUAGCAGUCCCGGAAGCGCUUUGAGGUCUCCGAAGUAGCGCGGUGCAAACAGAAGCGCUUGGUGAUCACGGAAGCACGUUGUGGUUUUGGGAGCCAAACCGAAGCCUUUAGUCAAUCUCGAAUCGUUGGGACUUCUCCGAAGCGCUUUGGCAUCUCUGAAACCUUGAGAACUGUGAUGGGCAGUGGAAAGAAGAGGGAAAGGUGCCCAUGGCGUCGGAGCGGCGCAAGGUCAAGUACCACUGGAGCAGCACUUCGGAAGGGUGUCCCAGCAAGCGCAGCUGCCUCCGGGAGCCCAGUGAUGUGGCCCCCUCCAGCCGGCCAGCCCACAGCUCUGCGUCGCGUUCACGAGGGGGCAGCAGCUCCAAGCGCCUGAAAGCUUGCAAGGAGGACGAUGUGGCCUGCUCGCCGAGGUUAUCCAGGAGCUCAUCCCGCCGCAGACAUUCCUCCUCCUCCUCCUCCUCCCAUUCCUCUGGCCCAGGUGUGGGCGGGGCCGCCUCCAAAGGCUGCCUGAUUCGGAGCGCUCGGGCGUUCCUUUCGUCGAGGGGAUCCUCUAUGCGCCCUACCAACCCCUCCCUAGAAGAAAUGGCUUCUCUAGAGGAGGAAGCCUGCAGCCUUAAGGUUGAUUCCAAAGAUGGUUCUCGUAACUCCAUGAACUCUGAAUUUGCAGCUGAAGCUGAGGGUCAGAAUGACGGGAUGGAAGAACCAAACAAGGUCCAGAAAAGGAAGAGGAAUAGGCUUGGGGACCAGGGCUCCACGGUGAUCUACCUGAAGGCACUACAGGGCAUCCUGGGGAAAUCCAUGCCCAGGAGGAAAGAAGCUGCCACCCCUAGGGUGAAACCGAGCCCAGGAGUGCGUCCCAGCCGUGCUGAAGGACCAGCCAGGAGUGUCUCGGUUACUCCUCCUCAGAAAGAGAAAGAGUCGCCCCCAGAGGUCAGAGUGGAGGAGGAUCAGCUUGACAGGAGCAGCUUCUGUGACAGGAGAGUGAUUGUGGACCCUCAGGAGAAGUCUGCUGAGGAGCCACUUGGUGACCGAAGGACAGUCAUUGACAAGCCCUCUCCCCCGCUAGAAUUUUUGGAUGACUCCGACACUCAUUUAGAAAUCCAAAAGCAUCAAGAUAGGGAAGUGGUGAUUGAGCAGCCCUCCUCAGGAAGCGACUGGUCUGAUGUGGACGAGGUCUCCACGGUCAGAUUCUCUCAGGAGGAACCUGUCUCGCUGAAGUACUCGGCAGUUCCAGAGACUUCUUCCUUUCCCACUGACUACGUCAUGUACCCCCCCCACUUGUACAGUAGUCCUUGGUGCGACUAUGCCAGCUACUGGGCCAGUGGCCCCAAGACUCCUGGCCACCCCUCUGUGGGCAGCAGCCAGGACACAGUGCCGGCUGGGACAAGCAACCGCAGCCUCCUAAGUGAUUAUCCCCCCAGCUCCGCAGUGAGCUCCCAGAGCACCUCCAGAGACGUGGAGGCUGCAGACGAAGGCAGAUCCCAGAAUUCCCGUUCCCUGCGCUUCUCCAGAAGCUCUGGAGAGGAAGUGAAGGAAAAAAGAACAUUCCGAGAGGAGACGCCACCUCGUCCCUGUGGUGGACAGGCAUCCAGCUCCCUGCCACGGAGCCACCGGGAGCCCAGCCUGGAGGAGGGCUUCAUUGACACCCACUGCCACUUGGACAUGCUGUACUCCAAGUUGUCUUUCAAGGGGACCUUUACAAAGUUCAGAAAAAUUUACAGCAGCUCUUUCCCCAAGGAAUUCCAGGGCUGCAUCUCUGACUUCUGUGACCCUCGGACGCUGACGGACUGCCUGUGGGAGGAGCUGCUGAAGGAGGACCUGGUCUGGGGGGCCUUUGGCUGUCACCCCCAUUUUGCACGUUACUAUAGUGAGAGUCAAGAGAGAAAUCUGUUGCAGGCCUUGCGGCACCCCAAGGCCGUGGCCUUCGGGGAAAUGGGCUUGGAUUACUCUUACAAGUGCACCACGCCCAUCCCAGAGCAGCACAAGGUAUUUGAGAGACAGCUGCAGCUGGCCGUGUCUCUUAAGAAGCCCUUGGUCAUCCACUGUCGAGAAGCUGAUGAAGAUCUGUUGGACAUCAUGAAAAAAUUUGUACCCUCCGACUACAAGAUCCAUAGGCAUUGCUUCACUGGCAGCUACCCGGUCAUCGAGCCCUUGUUGAAGUACUUUCCCAACAUGUCCGUGGGCUUCACGGCAGUCCUGACCUACUCCUCCGCCUGGGAGGCCCGGGACGCUCUGAAACAGAUCCCAUUGGAGAGAAUCAUUGUGGAAACGGAUGCCCCCUACUUCCUGCCUCGCCAGGUUCCCAAGAGCCUUUGCCAGUAUGCCCACCCGGGCCUGGCCCUGCACACGGUCCGAGAGAUUGCCAGGGUCAAAGAUGAGCCACUCUCCCGCACGCUGGCCGCCUUGCGUGAGAACACCAGCCGCCUCUACAACCUCUGAGCAAGGAGGGCGCCCUCAGGAGUCUCCCAGGAAAGGUCAUGGAAUUCACAUGAUGUGCUCUGUAAAAAUCAGAACCAGCAGAUCCUGCAGGGCGACCAGCAGUCCCUCAGAACGUAGGCUGCGCUCCAGCCCCACCUGUGUCCUGGGUCAAGGAUGUUUGCGGAGCCCACUGGGACAGAGGCAGCCAGGACAGGCUGUUUUCCCGAGACUUUUCCUCAAGGCUUCAGCUUCUGGCUGGCAGAUGGGUGGCCGUGGAGGGUAGGUGCUGCGGGAACAGCAUUGGGCUCUGCCUGCCAGCCAGGCUGCUCCAGGGCAGUCAGCAAGAGGAGAGAGUGACCUGAGGGUACCAGAAUAUGCCAGUCCAAGUCCCUGUUCUCUGCAGCCUGUGAUUUUUAAGCAGUCUGUGAAUAAAGUCACCCUGCUACCCACCUAAGCACAUGUGGGCGUAUAACCGGGUCCCCGCUUCUCAUGGGAAAUGUCUUGGAAGCUCGCUGGAGUUCUGUCUCCGAGGUUUGUUUCUGGGAACCAGCGAGGCUGCCCCCUUCCCUGGAUAGCUCUGGGUUUGCCUGUCACUGUACCCUUGUCAACUCCAGUAUUGGCACAAGUGGGAGGACUGCAGUUGUGCUCUGGUUUCACUGCACGUGCGGAGGGCUGCAGAGGGUGCUUGUCGUCCUCGGGAAGUCCUGGCUGGCGGAGGUGCAGGACAGACGGGGGCACUGAAGAAGUGUCCCCACUGACGGAAGCCCCAAGGCUGCUGCUUGGUGCGUUAAAGGGUUGGGGUCAAGUCUGUAGUACAAGGUCCCUGCCAGCUGGGGAUCAGGAGCCCAGCUGCCCCUGCUUCGUGUGUGUACCCCUACUGAACCGCUUGGCCAUGCAGCCACCUCUUGAGUGCCCUACCCAGGUUGGCAGCUCAAUCCACACAGUUCUCGGGGCUCCUGGGGCGUUGCGGCAUGAGCAGGCCUGUGUCUUGACCUGCGAAAUCCCCCUCUGCCUCUCCUGGCGUCCUUGCCUUUGCCUCCUCUCUGCUCUCUGUUUUAGAAGAGAGCCUCUCCUUGGACUUACAGCAGCUGAAUCAUCUCAAGUUCAGAGCUCUGCUCUGCUCUGCUCUCUGCUGUGCCUUGGAAAGGUGUGUGCCUCCCAGGCCUCAGAGUUUAUGAUGGCCAAAGGUCAAGUGUGAGCAGACUCCUGAGCUUUGUCCAAGAAGGUCCUCACCCUAAUCUGCAGUGAGACAGGUCACCUGGAGUCCCCUGUUUAUUGAAGGCUUACAUUAUACAAUCCGCCCCUUACUGUGGAUUCCUCUAGGUGUUUCUGGAAGCACAUCUGAACCUGUAAACUAAAAUGGGAUGGACUUUAUAUUUCCUGUGUGGAAUUUGCACCGUGCCCCUGCUGGCCUAGGAGGCAGGCCUUGGUGUCUAUCCAUCUCCCACAGGUCAGUUGCUUUUUGUGCCUCAAAGGUGCCAGUGUGGGGAGUCAGGGGGACUUGAUCACCUGUUAAAGAUUUGGCAGACUGCCAAGUCUGUCCGUGCUUUACUGUCACCCAGGUGAACUGCAGCAUAGCCUUGUUCUUGAGGGACAAUCCCCGUAAGUCACAUUGCCUGCUUGUGAGACAGACUGUGUGACAUCUCCAAGCUCAGUCCCCUGCUGAGAAAGAGCACAGGGUGUUGUCCACCCAUUUUCCCUCAGGACUUAGGAUUGUCAUGUGUGUUGGUCCCACAGUGAGACCUUGCCUACGUGGGGCUGACAUUGGCUUGACCUCAGGUUCCGUUCUGUUGUUGGGUAGCUGACUUGAUUGCUCUCACUUGCUGCCAGGGUGCCUCUGUGCCUCUCCCCGACUUCGGCCAUCUCUGAGAAUAAAGUGGUGGAUCCUCUCGCUGAGUCCUGUGCGUCCAUGUGUGUCCAGAGUUCUCUGAGUGUCGCAGCUGGCCAGCCCAGUGUUGGCCAGCUAUGUGACCUGGCAUCUGAUGUUGGGAGACUCUUCAGUACACGCGUGCCUUGCUGUCAAAUCAAACCGGAUGCGAGAACAGGUUGUGCCUUCCUAAAAGUGCUGCCUGGGAGCAUUAUCGCUCAGUGCGGCCUGGGAAUGCGGAUGUGCCGCUGCUUCCUAGCUGUGAAGAGGACAUCAGUGACUUUCCCCACCUGGAGAGCAGUGGGAGGGAGACUCCGGGACUUGGGAUGUGAUGAGUUUGUUUGCUUGUGGGUUUGGCUGUGAUCUCCAUGCUUCUGGGUGAAUGCUGGAGGAAGUUCUCUCUCACUGUUUGCAGGCAGUUGUCUAAUUUGGGAUGAAGGUAUUGCUGGUAGGCUUCAUUGUUUGGGUGCUUAUUGGCCCAGGGCCUGGAGCCAACCCCAGCCCCGUUCCAGGGUGCUCCCGGGCACAGCUCGUGGCUGGAGGGGAAGCCUGCAUGGGCAGAGAAAGGCUCCAAGCAGCGCCACAUAGGCCGGGCCUGUGCUGCAGCUCGCCUCACACGUGGUCAUGUGUUCUCGGCAAGUUCUGUGACUUUCAGCCUGUUCCUUCCUGGUCAGACACACCCGCUGUCCCGUCAGUGCUGGUCUGUAUAGAGCUGGUGAUCUGCCUGCGGCUCUCCUGGUGUCUCCAUCUUCCUUUCUGUGGUGAGUUUGGGAUUGAUGCUGAUCAUGUACAGUUGGCACUUUGCUUUCCCCAUCAUUCAUUUUUAUUAAAUAAGGGCAAAUGGCCAUGGGGUUGUGUAACGAUGGGACACCAGACUCUGUCAGAUGGUGCUCAGUGGUCGCCAGCCUCACUGGUCCCUAUCGGUGCUCCUCAGUGGAGUUUAUAUAUAUGGGUUCAGCUUAGGUGGGCGCCUGACCUCUGCUGUUGGUACACAGUUUUAAGAGUUUCUGAGCACAUACCUCUAAGUGUGUGAUAAGUUAAAGUUACAUACAUGCUGCACUAUUACACUGAUCAUAAAACAAUGUACCAGGGUUGA